Small nucleolar RNA from Arvicanthis niloticus (Nile rat), 134 nucleotides. RefSeq annotates it as small nucleolar RNA SNORA70. The record is from RefSeq and is a predicted model, not a curated record. NCBI's taxonomy places the organism in Eukaryota, Metazoa, Chordata, Mammalia, Rodentia, Muridae.
UUGCAGACAGUCAAGCUGACCAAGUUCCUUUCCACAUAGAGACUUAGCAAGCAAAGGCUGCAAAGAGUGGCCUCCCUGGGAGUGCAUGCAGCCUGUUGCCUAGGCAGGUAGCCUAAGAUAACUUAUAGACAAUU